GGAGUUAGCCGGUGCUUCUUCUGUGAGUGAUGUCCUUCCUGCCGGCUAUUAACCCGCAGGCCUUCUUCCUCACUGAAAGUGCUUUACAACCCGAAGGCCUUCUUCACACACGCGGCAUGGCUGGAUCAGGGUUGCCCCCAUUGUCCAAUAUUCCCCACUGCUGCCUCCCGUAGGAGUCUGGGCCGUGUCUCAGUCCCAGUGUGGCUGAUCAUCCUCUCAGACCAGCUACGGAUCGUCGCCUUGGUGAGCCGUUACCUCACCAACCAGCUAAUCCGACAUAGGCUCAUCCGAUAGCGCGAGGCCCGAAGGUCCCCCGCUUUCCCCCGUAGGGCGUAUGCGGUAUUAGCCUGGGUUUCCCCAGGUUAUCCCCCGACUACCGGGCAGAUUCCUAUGCAUUACUCACCCGUCCGCCGCUCGCCACCAGGGAGCAAGCUCCCCGUGCUGCCGCUCGACUUGCAUGUGUUAGGCCUGCCGCCAGCGUUCAAUCUGAGCCAGGAUCAAACUCUGA
Molecule: ribosomal RNA, 508 nt
Filed under: uncultured bacterium
Lineage: Bacteria
Description: partial 16S ribosomal RNA
Source: RNAcentral